GGGGGGGGGUGGGGGGGGGGGGGGGGCGGGCGGGUCGGGCGGAGGGGCGGGGGGCUUGCUGUGCUGAGGUUAGCGGCGGGCGGGUGAGUAACGCGUGGAUAACCUACCUAUAUGACUGGGAUCACUUCGGGCAACCGGAGCUAAUACCGGCUAAUAUUUUGACCCGCAUGGUUCAAACGUGAAAGACGGUCUUGCUGUCACUUAUAGAUGGAUCCGCGCUGCAUUAGCUAGUUGGUAAGGUCACGGCUUACCAAGGCAACGAUGCAUAGCCGACCGGAGAGGGGGGUCGGCCACACUGGAACUGAGACGCGGUCCAGACUCCUACGGGAGGCAGCAGUAGGGAAUCUUCCGCAAUGGGCGAAAGCCUGACGGAGCAACGCCGCGUGAGUGAUGAAGGUCUUCGGAUCGUAAAACUCUGUUAUUAGGGAAGAACAUAUGUGUAAGUAACUGUGCACAUCUUGACGGUACCUAAUCAGAAAGCCACGGCUAACUACGUG
RNAcentral lists this ribosomal RNA (497 nucleotides) under uncultured bacterium. RNAcentral's name for it is "partial 16S ribosomal RNA". It matches the Rfam family "Bacterial small subunit ribosomal RNA", at positions 38 to 507 of the family's 1533-position model. The record is from RNAcentral.